Lutra lutra (Eurasian river otter) is the source of this 959-nucleotide long non-coding RNA. RefSeq lists it as uncharacterized. The record is from RefSeq and is a predicted model, not a curated record. The transcript is spliced from 4 exons. Lineage: Eukaryota; Metazoa; Chordata; Mammalia; Carnivora; Mustelidae.
UUCCAUCUCAAGAAACCACGUUGCUCGUCCACAAGAAGCAACUCUUCGUCCAUUGAAGUUUUUUCAUGAGAUCACAGCAAUUCAGUUUCAUUUUCAGGCUCCACUUCUAAUCCUGGUUCUCUUGCUAUUUCCACCACAUCUGCAGUUACUUCCUCCAGUGAAGUCAUGAGCCCCUCAAAGUCAUCUGUGAAGGUAUUUUACCCCCCAGCCUUCUAAGAUGGUAACCCAACUGGUGUCUAGAAGAUAAUUGCCUUUGAGGUUGUUUGACUUUCAUGAGAUGAAGCAAUUUCAAGUGUGACUCAUUUUAUCGCUUGACCUGAGAGCUUGCCCCAACUCCUUUAUCUCCUCACCAUUUCUUCUCUGACGGAUGUCUCAGAUACAUCGCUUGAAUGUUCCAUCCCACCUUGGUGUCUCCUUUUGGAGGGCCUGAACUAAUGCAUAUAACACUGAUCCAAGAAAGCAGUGGUAUCAUACUAUUGAGUGGUACGCUGCUUGCCUUUGGUUUUCUAGUCAUAUGAGAUAAUGAAAUCUCUUUGUUAUUUUUUAAAAAAUGUUUUUAUUGUGAGUUGUAACCUGCAUAUGGGGAUAUGCAGAAAGUAAAAUUGUACAGUGUCAUGAAUUAUCAUUAAGUAAAUGCUUAUGAAACCACCAGCAAGGUCAUGAAAUAAGACAUUUCUAGAACCUAGAAGGUCUACUAAUGUCUCCUUCUAAACAGUACUUUCUCUUUCAAUGAAGGAAACUAUCUACUAGCUUAUGAUAACAUUUUCCUUAUGUUUAUUUAUAUUUUCCCACCAAACCAGCAUGCAUACAUGCAUCCCCAAAUAAUGUACUUUAAUUUUGACUUCUAUUUAGCUCCGUAUAAAUGGAAUUUUUCUAUGUAUUUCAUGUCUGUCAUCUUCUACUCAUUAUGUUCCUGACAUUCAUCUAAGCUCUAUUAUUGUAUUUGUAGUUUAAAAACU